This 428-nucleotide ribosomal RNA is filed under the name Hordeum pusillum. Lineage: Eukaryota; Viridiplantae; Streptophyta; Magnoliopsida; Poales; Poaceae. The record is from RNAcentral.
UUUUUAAUAUGUUUUUUGCUCCACGCGAGAAACAUGCAUACGUGCGCGGAAUAUAUUGAGCGCGGUUCCUUAUUCUCGACGUUUUCGGCAAGUUUUAGCUUGCGGGUCAUUAUCCACGCGUGUAGGGCGUCCUUGCGGUGGAAAAGCGGUCGGGUACCGAAAGGGGUCGAGACCGCGGUAAACCUCUAGUUGGUGCGGUAGAGAGGGAGGGGUGGAGACCGUGGUAAACACGACACGUGUAAGUUGUUGAGCGGGAGAGUAAGUGGUACGGUGCAGUAUUCGUUAUUAGGAAGCGUUGUCAAAGAGUGCUCGAUCGUGUUUGUGGUGGAGCCGGGAGGCGGGAGCAUAAUGGACGAAGGCGGGGAAACAUGUCGAAUGCGAUGAUACCAGCACUAAAGCACCGGAUCCGUCCUCGUGUUGCACUUCCC